Arabidopsis thaliana (thale cress) is the source of this 85-nucleotide small nucleolar RNA. Lineage: Eukaryota; Viridiplantae; Streptophyta; Magnoliopsida; Brassicales; Brassicaceae. The record is from RefSeq.
GUUAAUAUCGGAAAUAAACAGAUCGUGGGACAAAUCUCGUCUCGCGAGUUGAUGUCCGAUAAUAUUAUGGUUCGUAUUCGCUGAG